ACUGCGGUUCUGAGCGCGCCAUCCGCGCCCACCUGACAGCUGCUCGCGACGUUUUGUCAGCC
Molecule: small RNA, 62 nt
Filed under: Xanthomonas oryzae pv. oryzae
Lineage: Bacteria; Pseudomonadati; Pseudomonadota; Gammaproteobacteria; Lysobacterales; Lysobacteraceae
Description: sX9
Rfam family: Xanthomonas sRNA sX9
Source: RNAcentral